CAGAGACAUUGCCCUUUGGGGUAGAUCUCCCACCCUUUGUUUACAUUACCUUUGUUGCUUUGGCAGGCCCGUCUUUGGACCACCGGCUUUGGCUGGUCUGUGCCUGCCAGAGGACCCUAAAUUCUUGAUUUUUGUGUUGUCUGAGUUAUUAUAAUAAGUUA
Molecule: unclassified non-coding RNA, 161 nt
Filed under: uncultured Leotiomycetes
Lineage: Eukaryota; Fungi; Ascomycota; Leotiomycetes
Description: sequence contains ITS1
Source: RNAcentral